Molecule: long non-coding RNA, 1292 nt
Filed under: Pogona vitticeps (central bearded dragon)
Lineage: Eukaryota; Metazoa; Chordata; Lepidosauria; Squamata; Agamidae
Description: lncRNA (ENSPVIG00000005219.1)
Source: RNAcentral
UCCUGUUAGUUUCAUGAUCUUGUCUUCUGUUUCUCAGGGCUUAACAGGAGCUGAUGGCCCGCCUGGGCCGAAUGGCCCCCGAGGAGACAGGGGUGCAAUAGGACCUCCUGGGCCAGUUGGACCAGCAGGCAAAGGACUUGCAGGACCACCAGGACCUCCAGGCCCCAGCGGGCUUCCCGGUGCAACAGGAUCGCAAGGGCCACCUGUAAGUAUCCUUUUCUUUCCAUGGAUCCCAUAUCUUAUAUCUCAAAGAAAUAAAUCAGUUGACUCACACUUCCACGUCCUUCGCUAGAGAUGGUAGUGCUGUUUGAAACAGAUGCUCUCACCCAUACAGAAGCUGGAUCUCUAUAAAGAUGGGGGGGGGGAAAUCACAGAGAAUAUAUCAAACUACUUUUUCUGCCUGAAUGAUCUUUAUGGGCUCUUUGAAGCUACUGCUAGCCAGAGAAAAACGUGAAGAGAUAAAGGGGAUCUUUCCCCCAAGUAUCUUCUGGCGAGUGGCUGGGUUUUUUGAAGAACAAGGACAUGGAACAUGCUCUUCAAAAGCCCGGAUUUGGUCCUUGGGGUGACUUUCCAGCGGCCCACUGGAGCCAAAGGCAAAAGUACAUGAUCAAAACCAAGAGCAUAGCUGAGCUCUUACUCCAAGCCCUCCGAAGAGACUUUCGAGCUCUUUGAAUGGGAAGAGGUCCCACACAUGGGCUGGGAAGCCAACUGUGAUGUCCUGAGAAAGGGGGCUUAUACCGUUCUCGAACCACUGAGGACCAGAUUGAGACCCAGGGCUGGAUGCUCCCCCACACAUGUUGUACAACACAUGCUUGACAUGCUGGAGGCCCCUCACUUCUAUUCCCCGCAUCUCUAGUAUGGACACCUGCCCGAAAUCUGGGAUCACCAUUGCUGGUUGGUAGAGAUGGCCGCGGAUCAUCGGUUUGGUAAUUUGUGCCAAUUUGUUUAGUGGUCAAACAGGUGUCUGGUGCUUCCCAACGCCACCUCCUCCAGGGAUGGUCAGUAUCAGCAGUACUGGGGUAGAUAUACCAAUGGUUGGUCUUCCUUUAAGGCCGUCCCGUCCCUCUGAGCUUGAUGGGCAUUGAAUGGGUAUAAACAAAAUCUGAGCUAUAAUCCAUGGUGGGCAAGGAAGGGAAAGACAGGACAAAUGUGAUUGGUCGGUGUCUGGUGCUUCCCAACGCCACCUCCUCCAGGGAUGGUCAGUAUCAGCAGUACUGGGGUAGAUAUACCAAUGGUUGGUCUUCCUUUAAGGCCGUCCCGUCCCUCUGAGCUUGAUGGGCAUUGAAUGGGUA